GGCCCCAUCGUCUAGCCUGGCCUAGGACAUCAGAUUCUCAUUCUGAAGACCGGGGUUCAAAUCCCCAUGGGGCUACCA
RNAcentral lists this transfer RNA (78 nucleotides) under Candidatus Omnitrophota bacterium. RNAcentral describes it as "tRNA-Glu". It matches the Rfam family "tRNA". Rfam says of the family: Transfer RNA (tRNA) molecules are approximately 80 nucleotides in length. Their secondary structure includes four short double-helical elements and three loops (D, anti-codon, and T loops). Lineage: Bacteria; Pseudomonadati; Candidatus Omnitrophota. The record is from RNAcentral.